CGUGCAGGCGGCUUGGCAAGUUGGAUGUGAAAUCUCCCGGCUCAACUGGGAGGGGUCGUUCAAAACUACCGAGCUAGAGGAUGGUAGAGGAAGGUGGAAUUCCCGGUGUAGUGGUGAAAUGCGUAGAUAUCGGGAGGAACACCAGUGGCGAAAGCGGCCUUCUGGACCAUUCCUGACGCUCAGACGCGAAAGCUAGGGGAGCGAACG
RNAcentral lists this ribosomal RNA (207 nucleotides) under uncultured bacterium. RNAcentral describes it as "partial 16S ribosomal RNA". It matches the Rfam family "Bacterial small subunit ribosomal RNA", at positions 568 to 774 of the family's 1533-position model. The record is from RNAcentral.